RNAcentral lists this ribosomal RNA (492 nucleotides) under uncultured bacterium. RNAcentral describes it as "bacterial SSU rRNA". It matches the Rfam family "Bacterial small subunit ribosomal RNA", at positions 40 to 507 of the family's 1533-position model. The record is from RNAcentral.
CGGCGUGCCUAAUACAUGCAAGUCGAGCGGAAUGAAGAAGAAGCUUGCUUUCUUCUGUAUUUUUAGCGGCGGACGGGUGAGUAACACGUGGGCAACCUACCUUGUAGAUUGGGAUAACUCCGGGAAACCGGGGCUAAUACCGAAUAAUCCAUUUUGCUUCAUGGCGAGAUGUUUAAAAGGCGGCUUCGGCUGUCACUACGAGAUGGGCCCGCGGCGCAUUAGCUAGUUGGUAGGGUAAUGGCCUACCAAGGCGACGAUGCGUAGCCGACCUGAGAGGGUGAUCGGCCACACUGGGACUGAGACACGGCCCAGACUCCUACGGGAGGCAGCAGUAGGGAAUCUUCCACAAUGGACGAAAGUCUGAUGGAGCAACGCCGCGUGAGUGAAGAAGGUUUUCGGAUCGUAAAACUCUGUUGUAAGGGAAGAACACGUACGAGAGUAACUGCUCGUACCUUGACGGUACCUUAUUAGAAAGCCACGGCUAACUACGUG